AACCAGCUCUUCAAGUGGUCGGGAUAAUUAUUGGGCUUAAAGUGUCCGUAGCCGGUUUGGUAAGUUCCUGGUAAAAUCGGGUAGCUUAACUAUCUAUAUGCUAGGAAUACUACUAUACUAGAGGGCGGGAGAGGUCUGAGGUACUACAGGGGUAGGGGUGAAAUCUUAUAAUCCUUGUUGGACCACCAGUGGCGAAGGCGUCAGACUGGAACGCGCCUGACGGUGAGGGACGAAAGCCAGGGGAGCGAACCGGAUUAGAUACCCCCGUA
This 269-nucleotide ribosomal RNA is filed under the name uncultured prokaryote. RNAcentral describes it as "partial 16S ribosomal RNA". It matches the Rfam family "Archaeal small subunit ribosomal RNA", at positions 474 to 743 of the family's 1478-position model. The record is from RNAcentral.